UAAUGCAAGUCGAGCGGAGUAUUUCCUUCGGGGAAUGCUUAGCGGCGGACGGGUGAGUAACACGUAGGUAACCUGCCUAUAAGACUGGGAUAACUAUCGGAAACGAUAGCUAAGACCGGAUAACUGGUUUUCUCGCAUGAGAGAAUUAUGAAACACGGAGCAAUCUGUGACUUAUAGAUGGGCCUGCGGCGCAUUAGCUAGUUGGUAGGGUAAUGGCCUACCAAGGCGACGAUGCGUAGCCGACCUGAGAGGGUGAACGGCCACACUGGGACUGAGACACGGCCCAGACUCCUACGGGAGGCAGCAGUAGGGAAUCUUCCGCAAUGGACGCAAGUCUGACGGAGCAACGCCGCGUGAGUGAUGAAGGUUUUCGGAUCGUAAAGCUCUGUUGCCCUAGACGAACAGCAAGGCGAGUAACUGCGCUUUGUGUGACGGUAUAGGAGAAGAAAGCCCCGGCUAACUACGUGCCAGCAGCCGCGGUAAUACGUAGGGGGCAAGCGUUGUCCGGAAUUAUUGGGCGUAAAGCGCGCGCAGGCGGUUCGUUAAGUUGGGUGUUUAAGCCCGGGGCUCAACCCCGGUUCGCAUCCAAAACUGGCGAACUUGAGUGUAGGAGAGGAAAGUGGAAUUCCACGUGUAGCGGUGAAAUGCGUAGAGAUGUGGAGGAACACCAGUGGCGAAGGCGACUUUCUGGCCUAUAACUGACGCUGAGGCGCGAAAGCGUGGGGAGCAAACAGGAUUAGAUACCCUGGUAGUCCACGCCGUAAACGAUGCAUACUAGGUGUCGGGGAUUCGAUUUCUCGGUGCCGAAGUUAACACAGUAAGUAUGCCGCCUGGGGAGUACGCUCGCAAGAGUGAAC
RNAcentral lists this ribosomal RNA (857 nucleotides) under bacterium H2B4print. RNAcentral describes it as "bacterial SSU rRNA". It matches the Rfam family "Bacterial small subunit ribosomal RNA", at positions 52 to 899 of the family's 1533-position model. The record is from RNAcentral.